This 274-nucleotide ribosomal RNA is filed under the name uncultured bacterium. RNAcentral's name for it is "partial 16S ribosomal RNA". It matches the Rfam family "Bacterial small subunit ribosomal RNA", at positions 523 to 796 of the family's 1533-position model. The record is from RNAcentral.
AUACGGAGGGUCCGAGCGUUAUCCGGAAUCAUUGGGUUUAAAGGGUCCGUAGGCGGGAAUCUAAGUCAGUGGUGAAAUCUUGCAGCUCAACUGUAAAAUUGCCAUUGAUACUGGAUUUCUUGAAUUAGUGUGAAGUGGUUAGAAUGUGUAGUGUAGCGGUGAAAUGCAUAGAUAUUACACAGAAUACCAAUUGCGAAGGCAGAUCACUAACACUAUAUUGACGCUGAGGGACGAAAGCGUGGGGAGCGAACAGGAUUAGAAACCCGUGUAGUCC